UAAACGAUGAGUACUAGCUGUCGGACGGUGGCGCAGCUAACGCAUUAAGUACUCCGCCUGGGAAGUACGCUCGCAAGAGUGAAACUCAAAGGAAUUGACGGGGAUCCGCACAAGUAGCGGAGCAUGUGGUUUAAUUCGAAGCAACGCGAAGAACCUUACCUAAGCUUGACAUCCAGGUGGUGCAUGGUUGUCGUCAGCUCGUGUCGUGAGAUGUUGGGUUAAGUCCCGCAACGAGCGCAACCCUUGCCUUUAGUUGCCACUCUAGAGGGACUGCCAGGGAUAACCUGGAGGAAGGUGGGGAUGACGUCAAAUCAUCAUGCCCCUUAUGCUUAGGGCUACACACGUGCUACAAUGGGUGGUACAGAGGGCAGCCAAGUCGUGAGGCGGAGCUAAUCCCUUAAAGCCAUUCUCAGUUCGGAUUGUAGGCUGAAACUCGCCUACAUGAAGCUGGAGUUACUAGUAAUCGCAGAUCAGAUGCUGCGGUGAAUGCGUUCCCGGGUCUUGUACACACCGCCCGUCACACCACGGGAGUUGGGGGCGCCCGAAGCCGG
Molecule: ribosomal RNA, 551 nt
Filed under: uncultured bacterium
Lineage: Bacteria
Description: bacterial SSU rRNA
Rfam family: Bacterial small subunit ribosomal RNA
Source: RNAcentral